UUUAAGUAUUUUUUAUAUUUAAUAUAGUUUUUUGAUAUUCAAUUUGAUUGAAGCAUUUAAGUAAUUCUCUUCAUUUUUAUGCACUAUCGCAUAUAAUAUUUUUUGAAUUGUAUUUUAUGAUUAUUUUGUAUUAUGCAGAUUGCUAUCUACUGCAUAAAUUAUUUAAAAUUCAUUAUAAAUAAUAUUAUCUUUUACAAAAAAA
RNAcentral lists this long non-coding RNA (202 nucleotides) under Capsella rubella. Its description in RNAcentral is "long non-coding RNA (CRUB_LNC001773)". Lineage: Eukaryota; Viridiplantae; Streptophyta; Magnoliopsida; Brassicales; Brassicaceae. The record is from RNAcentral.